Molecule: transfer RNA, 81 nt
Filed under: Candidatus Altimarinota bacterium
Lineage: Bacteria; Candidatus Altimarinota
Description: tRNA-Leu
Rfam family: tRNA
About the family: Transfer RNA (tRNA) molecules are approximately 80 nucleotides in length. Their secondary structure includes four short double-helical elements and three loops (D, anti-codon, and T loops).
Source: RNAcentral
CCAGAUGAUGGAAUUGGUAGCAUGUGGGUCUCAAAAACCCAUUUCUUCACGGGAGUUCGGGUUCGAUUCCCGCUCUGGGUA